Molecule: ribosomal RNA, 253 nt
Filed under: uncultured bacterium
Lineage: Bacteria
Description: partial 16S ribosomal RNA
Rfam family: Bacterial small subunit ribosomal RNA
Source: RNAcentral
UACGUAGGGUGCAAGCGUUGUCCGGAAUCAUUGGGCGUAAAGCGCGCGUAGGUGGCUUCGUAAGUCCGUUGUGAAAGUCAAAGGCUCAACCUUUGAAUGCCGAUGGAUACUGCGAAGCUAGAGUACGGAAGAGGCGAGUGGAAUUCCUGGUGUAGCGGUGGAAUGCGCAGAUAUCCGGAAGAACACCUGAGGCGAAGGCGGCUUGCUGGGCCUGAUCUGACGCUGAGGCGCGAAAGCGUGGGGAGCAAACAGG